Molecule: transfer RNA, 37 nt
Filed under: Panthera spelaea (Eurasian cave lion)
Lineage: Eukaryota; Metazoa; Chordata; Mammalia; Carnivora; Felidae
Description: partial tRNA-Asp
Source: RNAcentral
GAAGUAUUAGUAAAACAAUUACAUAACCUUGUCAAGG